AUGGAGGAGGCCUGCGAGAUCGCGCGCCUGCCGGAGGAGCUCGUCUCGGCGGCGCUGGCCCGCACGUCCCCGCGCGACGCCUGCCGGGCCGCCGCGGUGUCCCCGGCCUUCCGCGCCGCGGCCGACUCCGACGCCGUCUGGGCCCGCUUCCUGCCCCCCGGCGGCCUCCCGCCGCUCGCCGACGGGGAGCUGGCCGCCCCCGCCCCGCCCUCCUCCAAGAAGGAGCUCUUCCUCCGCCUCUCCGCCGGCCCCGCCCUCCUUCAGGACAGGCUAGUGAGCGUGUGGCUGGACAGGGAGACCGGCGCCAAGUGCUACAUGCUGUCCGCCAGGAACCUCUUCAUCGUGUGGGGCGACACUCCGCAGUACUGGACCUGGAUCCCACUCGAGGACUCCAGGUUCUCCGAAGGUGCUCAACUCAUGCAUGUUUGCUGGUUCGAGAUCCGCGGGAAGAUACAUAGCAAUAUGCUCUCCCAGGACACAACGUAUGCCGCCUACAUGGUCUUCAAGACGACCGAUAAUUUCUACGGGCUGGAUUCUCCGGUCCAGGAGGCAUCGAUCAGCGCCGGAGCGACCAACUCAACCCGCAAGGUUUGCCUCCAAGGUAACGAUGACGACGACGGCGAGGGCGGGGUGCCCGAGAACUACCAGCGGAUGGUUCCAUUUCCGCGGCUAAGGCUCAGGAGGAGGAACCGCCGCGUAGUAUCCCACGAAGAGAACGUCGCGCUCCCUCAGCAGAGGGCCGACGGGUGGAUGGAGCUGGAGCUGGGCGAGUUCCUCAACGAGGGGGGCGACGACGGCGAGGUGUCCAUCAGCCUGGUGGAGACGAAAGGCGGGAACUGGAAGAGCGGCCUCAUCGUGCAGGGCAUCGAGAUCAGACGUAAGAAAUCAGGCUGA
RNAcentral lists this ribosomal RNA (894 nucleotides) under Triticum aestivum (bread wheat). Its description in RNAcentral is "partial small subunit ribosomal RNA". The record is from RNAcentral. Lineage: Eukaryota; Viridiplantae; Streptophyta; Magnoliopsida; Poales; Poaceae.